UAGGGAAUCUUCGGCAAUGGACGAAAGUCUGACCGAGCAACGCCGCGUGAGUGAGAAGGUUUUCGGAUCGUAAAACUCUGUUGUUAGAGAAGAACAAGGACGUUAGUAACUGAACGUCCCCUGACGGUAUCUAACCAGAAAGCCACGGCUAACUACGUGCCAGCAGCCGCGGUAAUACGUAGGUGGCAAGCGUUGUCCGGAUUUAUUGGGCGUAAAGCGAGCGCAGGCGGUUUCUUAAGUCUGAUGUGAAAGCCCCCGGCUCAACCGGGGAGGGUCAUUGGAAACUGGGAGACUUGAGUGCAGAAGAGGAGAGUGGAAUUCCAUGUGUAGCGGUGAAAUGCGUAGAUAUAUGGAGGAACACCAGUGGCGAAGGCGGCUCUCUGGUCUGUAACUGACGCUGAGGCUCGAAAGCGUGGGGAGCAAACAGG
RNAcentral lists this ribosomal RNA (428 nucleotides) under Gemmatimonadota bacterium. RNAcentral's name for it is "Gemmatimonadetes bacterium partial 16S ribosomal RNA". It matches the Rfam family "Bacterial small subunit ribosomal RNA", at positions 355 to 776 of the family's 1533-position model. Lineage: Bacteria; Pseudomonadati; Gemmatimonadota. The record is from RNAcentral.